Molecule: ribosomal RNA, 645 nt
Filed under: Oberea sp. 1 ZHW-2013
Lineage: Eukaryota; Metazoa; Arthropoda; Insecta; Coleoptera; Cerambycidae
Description: eukaryotic LSU rRNA
Source: RNAcentral
UUCAGGGGUAAACCUGAGAAACCCGAAAGGUCGAAAGGGGAAAUUCAUCGCGUCUCGAACGUCGGAGCGAAACGUUCGCGUGACGGACGGCGCGCGCAAGCGCGUUCGUCCGCGCCCUUCGUUUCGCGCGUCGGCGUCGAACGCGUGCACUUUUCCCCUAGUAGGACGUCGCGAUCCGUUGGGCGUCGGUCUAAGGUCCGCGUGGGAGCCCGGGCGCUCGUUUCGCGACGUAGCGCUCGGACCCGCGGUGUCCCGGCCGGCUCGCUCGACGGUAUACAGAUGGCGCGGGGCCGCUACCUUCACAGUUAGCGUUCGGCCCGCGGCAAGCGCGUCCGCUAGCGACGGCGAUCGGACCCGGUGCCGGUCCUGUCCACGGACGACUGUUGGCCGCGGUGUUCUCGAACAGACCUCGUCUCUCGAAACGCCGAUCUGCGACGCUAUAGCUUUGGGUACUUUCAGGACCCACGGACCAAGGAGUCUAGCAUGUGCGCGAGUCAUUGGGACAUAACUAAACCUAAAGGCGCAAUGAAAGUGAAGGCUCGCCUCGCGCGAGCCGAGGGAAGAUGGGCGGUUCGCGUUCGCUCGCGACCGCUCCGCACUCCCGGGGCGUCUCGUUCUCAUCGCGAGAAGAGGCGCACCAAGAGC